CACAUGCAAGUCGAACGGUGAAGCCAAGCUUGCUUGGUGGAUCAGUGGCGAACGGGUGAGUAACACGUGAGCAACCUGCCUUGGACUCUGGGAUAAGCGCUGGAAACGGCGUCUAAUACUGGAUAUGAGCUCUCAUCGCAUGGUGGGGGUUGGAAAGAUUUUYCGGUCUGGGAUGGGCUCGCGGCCUAUCAGCUUGUUGGUGAGGUAAUGGCUCACCAAGGCGUCGACGGGUAGCCGGCCUGAGAGGGUGACCGGCCACACUGGGACUGAGACACGGCCCAGACUCCUACGGGAGGCAGCAGUGGGGAAUAUUGCACAAUGGGCGGAAGCCUGAUGCAGCAACGCCGCGUGAGGGAUGACGGCCUUCGGGUUGUAAACCUCBUUUUAGCAGGGAAGAAGCGAGAGUGACGGUACCUGCAGAAAAAGCGCCGGCUAACURCG
This 441-nucleotide ribosomal RNA is filed under the name Microbacterium sp. S4-20. Its description in RNAcentral is "bacterial SSU rRNA". It matches the Rfam family "Bacterial small subunit ribosomal RNA", at positions 52 to 505 of the family's 1533-position model. The record is from RNAcentral. Lineage: Bacteria; Bacillati; Actinomycetota; Actinomycetes; Micrococcales; Microbacteriaceae.